This 249-nucleotide long non-coding RNA is filed under the name Phoenix dactylifera (date palm). Its description in RNAcentral is "long non-coding RNA (PDAC_LNC004314)". Lineage: Eukaryota; Viridiplantae; Streptophyta; Magnoliopsida; Arecales; Arecaceae. The record is from RNAcentral.
UUGAGAGGGACUUUUUUGGAAGAUUAACACCCCAUUAUAUAAGCCAGCCAAUUCUCUUAUUUCGGUAAGGAUUUUUGUGAGAAGGGGAUCCCGAUCACCGCCCUCUAUCCCCUCUCGUUCUCUCUUGUGCUCUCGGUCUUCCGGCAACAGCAAGCAUCUGUUUUUGAUCUUCCGCUUGCAGGAGACCUUCCUUCUACCGUGACUCCUCUCUGUGGCUUCUCAUUUUCGUGAGUUCUUGUUCUUGCUGUU